RNAcentral lists this ribosomal RNA (567 nucleotides) under uncultured bacterium. Its description in RNAcentral is "bacterial SSU rRNA". It matches the Rfam family "Bacterial small subunit ribosomal RNA", at positions 338 to 916 of the family's 1533-position model. The record is from RNAcentral.
CCUACGGGAGGCAGCAGUGGGGAAUAUUGCACAAUGGGCGAAAGCCUGAUGCAGCGACGCCGCGUGAGGGAUGACGGCCUUCGGGUUGUAAACCUCUUUCAGCAGGGAAGAAGCGAGAGUGACGGUACCUGCAGAAGAAGCGCCGGCUAACUACGUGCCAGCAGCCGCGGUAAUACGUAGGGCGCAAGCGUUGUCCGGAAUUAUUGGGCGUAAAGAGCUCGUAGGCGGCUUGUUGCGUCGGUUGUGAAAGCCCGGGGCUUAACCCCGGGUCUGCAGUCGAUACGGGCAGGCUAGAGUGUGGUAGGGGAGAUCGGAAUUCCUGGUGUAGCGGUGAAAUGCGCAGAUAUCAGGAGGAACACCGGUGGCGAAGGCGGAUCUCUGGGCCAUUACUGACGCUGAGGAGCGAAAGCGUGGGGAGCGAACAGGAUUAGAUACCCUGGUAGUCCACGCCGUAAACGUUGGGAACUAGGUGUUGGCGACAUUCCACGUCGUCGGUGCCGCAGCUAACGCAUUAAGUUCCCGCCUGGGGAGUACGGCCGCAAGGCUAAAACUUAAAUGAAUUGACGG